AUAACCUUGUAGUUUAAUAAGAACGUUAGAAUGCAAUUCUACUAGUGGGGCUACCCUAAGGUUUA
This 65-nucleotide transfer RNA is filed under the name Baetis sp. PC-2010. RNAcentral's name for it is "tRNA-Cys". The record is from RNAcentral. Lineage: Eukaryota; Metazoa; Arthropoda; Insecta; Ephemeroptera; Baetidae.